AUUGAACGCUGGCGGCAUGCUUUACACAUGCAAGUCGAACGGUAACAGGCCGCAAGGUGCUGACGAGUGGCGAACGGGUGAGUAAUGCAUCGGAACGUGCCCAGUCGUGGGGGAUAACGCAGCGAAAGCUGCGCUAAUACCGCAUACGAUCUCUGGAUGAAAGCGGGGGACCGAAAGGCCUCGCGCGAUUGGAGCGGCCGAUGUCAGAUUAGGUAGUUGGUGGGGUAAAGGCCCACCAAGCCAACGAUCUGUAGCUGGUCUGAGAGGACGACCAGCCACACUGGGACUGAGACACGGCCCAGACUCCUACGGGAGGCAGCAGUGGGGAAUUUUGGACAAUGGGCGCAAGCCUGACCCAGCAAUGCCGCGUGCAGGAAGAAGGCCUUCGGGUUGUAAACUGCUUUUGUACGGAACGAAACGGUCCGGGUUAAUACCCUGGGCUAAUGACGGUACCGUAAGAAUAAGCACCGGCUAACUACGUGCCAGCCGCCGCGGUAA
RNAcentral lists this ribosomal RNA (498 nucleotides) under uncultured bacterium. Its description in RNAcentral is "partial 16S ribosomal RNA". It matches the Rfam family "Bacterial small subunit ribosomal RNA", at positions 29 to 523 of the family's 1533-position model. The record is from RNAcentral.